AUACGGAGGAUCCGAGCGUUAUCCGGAUUUAUUGGGUUUAAAGGGUGCGCAGGCGGCCAUUUAAGUCAGCGGUUAAAUCGUGGGGCUCAACCCCAUUCUGCCGUUGAUACUGGGUGGCUUGAUUGCGGUCGAGGUUGGCGGAAUUCGUUGUGUAGCGGUGAAAUGCAUAGAUAUGACGAAGAACACCGAUUGCGUAGGCAGCUGACCAGACCGCAAAUGACGCUCAUGCACGAAAGUGCGGGGAUCGAACAGGAUUAUAUACCCUGGUAGUCCGCACAGUAAACGAUGAAUACUUGUUUUCGGCGAUAUAAUGUCGGAGGCAAAGCGAAAGCGAUAAGUAUUCCACCUGGGGAGUACGCCGGCAACGGUGAAACUCAAAGGAAUUGACGGGG
This 392-nucleotide ribosomal RNA is filed under the name uncultured bacterium. Its description in RNAcentral is "partial 16S ribosomal RNA". It matches the Rfam family "Bacterial small subunit ribosomal RNA", at positions 523 to 918 of the family's 1533-position model. The record is from RNAcentral.